UGCGGUGUAGCUCAGAGGAAGAGCGGCGGCCUCAUAAGCCGGACGGCCGUGGGUUCGAGUCCCACCACCGCCA
RNAcentral lists this transfer RNA (73 nucleotides) under Planctomycetota bacterium. RNAcentral describes it as "Planctomycetes bacterium tRNA-Met". It matches the Rfam family "tRNA". Rfam says of the family: Transfer RNA (tRNA) molecules are approximately 80 nucleotides in length. Lineage: Bacteria; Pseudomonadati; Planctomycetota. The record is from RNAcentral.